UACGGGGGGAGCAAGCGUUGUUCGGAUUUACUGGGCGUAAAGGGCGCGUAGGCGGCCUGUGCAGGUGAGUUGUGAAAUCUCCGAGCUUAACUCGGAACGGUCAACUGAUACUGCUCGGCUAGAGUGCGGAAGGGGCAACUGGAAUUCUUGGUGUAGCGGUGAAAUGCGUAGAUAUCAAGAGGAACACCUGCGGCGAAGGCGGGUUGCUGGGCCGACACUGACGCUGAGGCGCGAAGGCCAGGGGAGCAAACGGG
Molecule: ribosomal RNA, 254 nt
Filed under: uncultured bacterium
Lineage: Bacteria
Description: partial 16S ribosomal RNA
Rfam family: Bacterial small subunit ribosomal RNA
Source: RNAcentral